RNAcentral lists this unclassified non-coding RNA (194 nucleotides) under uncultured Agaricomycetes. Its description in RNAcentral is "sequence contains ITS2". The record is from RNAcentral. Lineage: Eukaryota; Fungi; Basidiomycota; Agaricomycetes.
UUUAUUUCACACUUCCAAUCCUUGAUUGGUUUUGGUGGACCUGGGUGUUGCCCCUUCCUUGAGGCUCACCUCAAAUCAAGUAGUGCAUCCUUGCUGGACCACAGUACGGCGUCAUAGUUACUAUCCCGCCGGCCCUCUUACCAGGGUGGUUUAUCAAGUGAUUGUGCUUCCAACCGUCUUCGGACAAUCUCCCA